RNAcentral lists this ribosomal RNA (349 nucleotides) under Leptospira borgpetersenii serovar Ballum. RNAcentral describes it as "bacterial SSU rRNA". It matches the Rfam family "Bacterial small subunit ribosomal RNA", at positions 533 to 880 of the family's 1533-position model. Lineage: Bacteria; Pseudomonadati; Spirochaetota; Leptospiria; Leptospirales; Leptospiraceae. The record is from RNAcentral.
GGCAAGCGUUAUCCGGAAUUAUUGGGCGUAAAGCGCGCGUAGGCGGUUUUUUAAGUCUGAUGUGAAAGCCCACGGCUCAACCGUGGAGGGUCAUUGGAAACUGGAAAACUUGAGUGCAGAAGAGGAAAGUGGAAUUCCAUGUGUAGCGGUGAAAUGCGCAGAGAUAUGGAGGAACACCAGUGGCGAAGGCGACUUUCUGGUCUGUAACUGACGCUGAUGUGCGAAAGCGUGGGGAUCAAACAGGAUUAGAUACCCUGGUAGUCCACGCCGUAAACGAUGAGUGCUAAGUGUUAGGGGGUUUCCGCCCCUUAGUGCUGCAGCUAACGCAUUAAGCACUCCGCCUGGGGAG